GCCCGAAUGGCUCAGUGGUAAAGCGUCUCACUAGUAUUCCAGUCUCUACAUAGAUAAUCAUCUACUGUAGGUGGAUCCGAAAUGAGAAGAUCGCCAGUUCGAUUCUGGCUUUGGGCA
Molecule: transfer RNA, 117 nt
Filed under: Colletotrichum chlorophyti
Lineage: Eukaryota; Fungi; Ascomycota; Sordariomycetes; Glomerellales; Glomerellaceae
Rfam family: tRNA
About the family: Transfer RNA (tRNA) molecules are approximately 80 nucleotides in length. Their secondary structure includes four short double-helical elements and three loops (D, anti-codon, and T loops). Further hydrogen bonds mediate the characteristic L-shaped molecular structure. tRNAs have two regions of fundamental functional importance: the anti-codon, which is responsible for specific mRNA codon recognition, and the 3' end, to which the tRNAs corresponding amino acid is attached (by aminoacyl-tRNA synthetases). tRNAs cope with the degeneracy of the genetic code in two manners: having more than one tRNA (with a specific anti-codon) for a particular amino acid; and 'wobble' base-pairing, i.e. permitting non-standard base-pairing at the 3rd anti-codon position.
Source: Rfam by way of RNAcentral